This 1962-nucleotide long non-coding RNA is filed under the name Canis lupus familiaris (dog). RNAcentral describes it as "lncRNA (ENSCAFG00845006565.1)". The record is from RNAcentral. Lineage: Eukaryota; Metazoa; Chordata; Mammalia; Carnivora; Canidae.
UUUUUGCCAUCGAGUUGUAGGAGUUCCUUAUAUGUUUUGGAUAUUAACACCUUAUAAGUAAAAUACAUGUUUCAUUAAUAUUUUCUCCCAUUCUAUAUGUUGACUUUUUUAUUCUGUUGAGAGUUUUCUUUGCCGUACAAAACCUGUUUAUUUCUGCUUUUGCUGCCUGUGCUUUUGGUGUCAUAUACAAGAAAUCAUUGCCAAGGCUAAUGUUAUGAACUUUUCCUCUUUAUUUUUGCCUGGGAGUUUUAUAGUUUAAGGUAUUAUACUUAAGUCUUUAAUCCAUUUUGAGUUCAUUUUUGUGUAUGGUAUAAGAUAAUGGUCUAAUGUCAUACAAAGAGGCAUUUAAAAAGCUCUAAUUUUAUAUCUUAUUAAGUAUACAUACAUAUGUAGUAAAACUUAAACACAAAUUAAAGAAUAAAAAUUCAGAAUUGUGUUUACCCUUCUGGGCGGGGGGGAGUUAAGGGAGGAGACAGUGCUGAUGGCAGCUAUAUUACUUUCCUAAGUUGGUUAUGCGUACCUAGUAUUCCAUUAUAUGUAUAGACACACACACACACACACACACAAUUUUAUAAUAAAAUGAGAGUAAAAAUGUUUAUUUUUAAAGAGUAAAAAAAAUCCCUAUACUUUUUUGUUAAAAAAAUACUUUUUUAAAAAAAAUGAAUCUAAUACCUUUUAAAUUUUUUUUAAUUCCAAAACAUCCCUGAUACACAUUUUAGCAUAAUAACUUAACUCUACUUAAAAGGUUCCAGCUCUGAUGUAAAAAGUCUAACAUCCAUUGGGUGGAGCACUGCCCUCUAUUUUUAACCAUGUAGAUAAAAUUCUAUUGACAAUUAAUUCUACAAAAACAAUUCAUACAAACUUUAUUUUUAUUUAUUCACUUCUUUCUACCAAAUCUCACAAUGAAAUAAAAUUCAAAGAUGACUUGCUACACAAACUUACUGAAAAAACAAUGAACAAAGAGAUCUCUAUUCUCUGACAGAAAAUCUCUAGUCAAGAACUAUUAUUGCCAGUGCCUGAAGGUGGGCACUUGAUCAGGACUGCAUCAUGAUCUAUGACAAGGUUUCUCAACCUCAGCACUACUGUUAUUUUGGGUCAAAGAACUCUUUGUUGUGUGAGGUUGUUCUGUCAUUGUUGGAUACUUAACAGCAUCUCUGGCCUCUUCCCACUAGAAGCCAGUAGCACAGUAGUCUCCAGUUGUAAUCUUCAAAAAGGUCUCCAGUCAUUGCUAAAGGAUAAAACCGCCCCCCAGUUGAAAACCACUGCCCUUUGUGAAUGACACACCCUAGAGAGAGGUGCACUCAGCAACAGCACCCAGAAGCCUUGACAAUGGAAAUACAAAUUAUGAACAAAGUGCUAAGUUAAGCAAUUUACACAUUAGGGGAAAUAAAUUUAUAUCAGUAUAAAUAAUGUAUUAUUAUUUCCUUGAAUACUAUAUAGCUACAUGAAGAUAAAAUAAGGAAGGGCACCUGGGUGGCUCAGUCAGUUAAGCAUCUGCCUUGAGCUCAAGUCAUGAUCCCAGGGUCCUGGAAUCAAGCCCUGGCAUCAUUGGGCUCUCUGCUCAGUGGGGAGUCUGCUUUUCCCUCUCCCUUUCCCCUCCCCCAUUCUUAUACACUCUCUCUCUCUCUUUCAAAUCAGUUGCCUCCCUGAUGUACUCCCUUCAAAGUUCCAAAAGCAUUUCAGUUGAGAUGUUCAAAGCCUGCUCAUCUUCCAGUUUGCCCCAUUUUCAUAUAUGACAUCUCCCUGGAUCCAGCUGCUCAUGCCAUAGGAUCAGAAGUGACAUUUUCCUCAUCCUUAUUUUCACGUCUAAUUGUUUAUCAAUUCCUAUUUAUUACACUGGAUCUCUCAGUUCAGUCCACUGCCUUCAACCCUACUGGUACUACCUACUGCAAGCUACCAUCAUUUCUGGACUGGGCUACUUACUUUAAGAGUUUUCUAACCAUUAAAAAAAAAAAAAAAAAA